CUGGUAGUCCACGCCGUAAACGAUGUCGACUUGGAGGUUGUUCCCUUGAGGAGUGGCUUCCGGAGCUAACGCGUUAAGUCGACCGCCUGGGGAGUACGGCCGCAAGGUUAAAACUCAAAUGAAUUGACGGGGGCCCGCACAAGCGGUGGAGCAUGUGGUUUAAUUCGAUGCAACGCGAAGAACCUUACCUACUCUUGACAUCCAGAGAACUUAGCAGAGAUGCUUUGGUGCCUUCGGGAACUCUGAGACAGGUGCUGCAUGGCUGUCGUCAGCUCGUGUUGUGAAAUGUUGGGUUAAGUCCCGCAACGAGCGCAACCCUUAUCCUUUGUUGCCAGCGGUCCGGCCGGGAACUCAAAGGAGACUGCCAGUGAUAAACUGGAGGAAGGUGGGGAUGACGUCAAGUCAUCAUGGCCCUUACGAGUAGGGCUACACACGUGCUACAAUGGCGCAUACAAAGAGAAGCGACCUCGCGAGAGCAAGCGGACCUCAUAAAGUGCGUCGUAGUCCGGAUCGGAGUCUGCAACUCGACUCCGUGAAGUCGGAAUCGCUAGUAAUCGUAGAUCAGAAUGCUACGGUGAAUACGUUCCCGGGCCUUGUACACACCGCCCGUCACACCAUGGGAGUGGGUUGCAAAAGAAGUAGGUAGCUUAACCUUCGGGAGGGCGC
RNAcentral lists this ribosomal RNA (666 nucleotides) under uncultured bacterium. Its description in RNAcentral is "bacterial SSU rRNA". It matches the Rfam family "Bacterial small subunit ribosomal RNA", at positions 787 to 1453 of the family's 1533-position model. The record is from RNAcentral.